RNAcentral lists this ribosomal RNA (555 nucleotides) under uncultured fungus. RNAcentral describes it as "eukaryotic LSU rRNA". The stretch from base 207 to 360 matches the Rfam family "5.8S ribosomal RNA". Lineage: Eukaryota; Fungi. The record is from RNAcentral.
GUAACAAGGUCUCCGUAGGUGAACCUGCGGAGGGAUCAUUACACAAAUAUGAAGGCGGGCUGGAACCUCUCGGGGUUACAGCCUUGCUGAAUUAUUCACCCUUGUCUUUUGCGUACUUCUUGUUUCCUUGGUGGGUUCGCCCACCACUAGGACAAACAUAAACCUUUUGUAAUUGCAAUCAGCGUCAGUAACAAAUUAAUAAUUACAACUUUCAACAACGGAUCUCUUGGUUCUGGCAUCGAUGAAGAACGCAGCGAAAUGCGAUAAGUAGUGUGAAUUGCAGAAUUCAGUGAAUCAUCGAAUCUUUGAACGCACAUUGCGCCCUUUGGUAUUCCAAAGGGCAUGCCUGUUCGAGCGUCAUUUGUACCCUCAAGCUUUGCUUGGUGUUGGGCGUCUUGUCUCUAGCUUUGCUGGAGACUCGCCUUAAAGUAAUUGGCAGCCGGCCUACUGGUUUCGGAGCGCAGCACAAGUCGCACUCUCUAUCAGCAAAGGUCUAGCAUCCAUUAAGCCUUUUUCUCAACUUUUGACCUCGGAUCAGGUAGGGAUACCCGCUGA